Molecule: ribosomal RNA, 452 nt
Filed under: uncultured bacterium
Lineage: Bacteria
Description: bacterial SSU rRNA
Rfam family: Bacterial small subunit ribosomal RNA
Source: RNAcentral
GUAGCGCUACCCUUGUCCGUAGUUACCCAUGCUGGGUUAACCGGGGAACUGCUAAGGAUACUGCCAGUGACAAAUCUGGAGUAAGGCGGGUGACCGACGUCAAGUCAUCAUGGCCCUGUACGACCAGGGCUUACACACGUGCUUACAAUGGUAGGUACAGAGGUCAGCUACACAGCGAUGGUGAUGCGAAUCUCAAAAAGCCUAUCGUAGUCCAGAUUGGAGUCUGCAACUCGACUACAUGAAGUAGGAAAUCGCUAGUAAUCGCGGAUCAGAAUGCCGCGGUGAAUACGUUCCCGGGCCUUGUACACACCGCCCGUCACACCCAUGGGAGUUGAUUGCACCAGAAGUGGAUAGCCUAACCUUUUAGGAAGGCGUUCACCACGGUGUGGUUGAUGACUGGGCUCGACAGUCGUAACACAGGUAGCCGUAGGGGAACCUGUGGCUGGAUCACC